CCUACGGGCGGCAGCAGUGAGGAAUAUUGGUCAAUGGCCGAGAGGCUGAACCAGCCACGUCGCGUGAGGGAAGACGGCCCUACGGGUUGUAAACCUCUUUUGUCAGGGAGCAAAGUGCGGGUCGGGACCUACUGGGAGAGUACCUGAAGAAAAAGCAUCGGCUAACUCCGUGCCAGCAGCCGCGGUAAUACGGAGGAUGCGAGCGUUAUCCGGAGUUAUUGGGAUAAAAGGGUGCGCAUGCGGAGUCACAAGUCAGCGGAAAAAUCGCGGGGCUCAACCCCGCUCCGCCGUUGAAACUGUGUAGCUUGAGUGCGCGAAGGGUAGGCGGAAUGCGUGGUGUAGCGGUGAAAUGCAUAGAUAUUACGCAGAACUCCGAUAGCGAAGGCAGCUUACUGGCGCGCAACUGACGCUCAUGCACGAAAGCGUGGGUAUCGAACAGGAUUAGAUACCCUAGUAGUC
RNAcentral lists this ribosomal RNA (459 nucleotides) under uncultured bacterium. RNAcentral's name for it is "partial 16S ribosomal RNA". It matches the Rfam family "Bacterial small subunit ribosomal RNA", at positions 338 to 795 of the family's 1533-position model. The record is from RNAcentral.